AAGAAAGUGGUAUGUUACGCAGAAGCGUCUAAAGAUUUUGUUGAUUUACUUUUUAGUUUUCUCACCAUUCCACUUGGGUAUUUGAUGAAUGAAAUGCAUGGUGGACAAUCAAAAGGAAGCAUCCACCACCUAUAUGACAGCGUCAUUGAUCUCGAUGCUACGAAAUACCUGAAGUCGAAUGACAUUAAAGAGAUUCUUCUAAAUCCUAAGAUUGCACCUGGUUCUGGCUAUAAGAACCAGCCACUAGGUGUUAAGGAAGCUGUUGAUAACCAGCAGUACUACUAUGAUCCGUAUUCUUCCAAGCCAAUAAGAACUGAAAGCAUCUGUUCUACACUCCCACUUUUAACUAUGAUGGAUCCCAAAUCACCCUACAAAGAGGGCACAGAAGGUGAUGGAUUUUUGCUAGAUCCUGCAAUGUUCACCGUAAGUGACGAUCGAUCUUGUUGUUACACCAAUAUCGCCUGUCUCAGAACUAUAUUUACUGGAAAAAUUGAAGAUACCUUUGAAUGACAUCCAUGUCUGCGAGGUUCAAGUUGGCAGAGAAGAGGUAAGUCAAACUAACUAAUUUCUGCACUCUCUUAUUAGCCAUGAUAUUUAAUAUUUAAUUAUAAAGCUCUUAAGAAAAAUCAUGCCUGUCAACUUCAUGCUUAUGUCUUAGUUAAUUUUGUCUUGAUCAGAACUGUAAGUUUAUUUAUUUUUUAUUCUAUUUAUUCAACCAUACAGAAUUAUAGGAUAGAAGUGGCAUAAAAACUAUUUUACCUGUUCUUCUGAGAUCCUUUUUUGUUAAUGGCAUUUGUUAAAAUUCGCAUCAUAACAGACUCUUCAAACAGGAAUAUUGGUGUGAUGGGCAUUUUUUUUUCUGCUGCAGGCUUCCCGUCUCUUAGCAGCUUCUUUUGUAUCUGAAUCUGCUCUUACUGAUACCUUCCUACGUAAGAUGCCAAAAGAUGCCUUAAUUUCCGAUGUUCUGAAAGAAUAAUCUUGAGGACAUCUGUGUGCUUAAUUGAUCAAGUAUAUUUUCUGGUCAUCUUGAACCUGGUUUUUUAUUAAUGUGAUAAGUAGUCUGUCAUGUGUAGGAGUAAUAUUGAUUCUCAAGACUUUCAUGUAAGUCGAAUUAAGGUGCUGCUUUUGCUAUGAAAAUUGAGAAUGGCGCAUGGGCUUUGCUAAUACAAGCUUGUGUGUUUGAUUUUUUUUUAUUUUUCUGGAGUUGUCAAGGUUAUCUUUUAAUUUGUUUUUAAAAGAUGCAAACAUUUUAUCUAAAAGGUCAAAUUCAGGUCAUGCAAGGUGAUUAAAAAAACAUGGUGAACUUUUUUUUUUAUAUAUAAAAAUUUGAUUUUUUAUUUUUUUAAUUUGAAAAUACUUAAAAAAAUUCUUUAAACCUCGAGUAAUUAAUUCCUCAAUUCAAGAAUUUUUAAAUUGAUUUAAAAACACAAAAUUAAACGGAAAAUAAAAAACCUCACUCAACUCUGAAUUUUUGUUUAGGUGAUAUGAAAGCCAAGAAAAAUUAACUGAGACAAAUAAUAUAGCCCAGCCUAAAAUUAGCUAAACAUGGAAUCAUCAAGUUGAGAAAAAACAAAAAAAAAACAAAUUAGGUGGCAAAAUAAAACGGAGCAAAUACUAUGCGAAUCCAUAUUCCCUCUCACAUGAUACACAAUGAAAGGUUGAUGUUUUUUAUUUUUUAAAAUUUAAUGAAAAUUUAUAAUAUAAUAUAAUUUAUAAUUGUAAUUGUAAUGCAUGUAACAUAAUUUAAAUCAGCUCAAUGAUUUGAUCCUCGAAAAUAAAUUUAUGCCAAACGGAGCAUAAUUAAGCUAACAGAGCCCAAGAUUAAAUUCGGCAAUGACAUUUUGGCAAUGGAUAAUGGGUUGGAAUACAGAGAGCGAUCCACAUUUUACUUUCCUCCUUGUCCUUGGACAACAACUUUUAUAUCUAUCUCUGUUUUUUUUUUGUUUAUAAUUUAUUAAUAUUGAGAAAAAAAUAUUAAUUUAUUUUUUAAUUUUUAUAUUAACACAUCAAAAUAAUUUAGAAAAGAAAAUAAAAUUUUUUUUUUAUCUUUUUAUCUUUUCUAAAAAUAAUUUUAAAACACAAAAAUACUCUUUUUUUUAAGUUUAGUAUCUGUUGUGUCUAUUUUAAAGCUUGUUUGAUAUUGUAAUAAUGGUUGUUUUUAAAAUUAUUUUUUUGUUUAGAAAUAUAUCAAAAUAAAUUUUUUUAUUUUUUAUAAUAGCACAUCAAAAUAAUUUGAAAACAAAAAAUAUUAAAAAAAUAUUAUAUUUUUUAAAAAAUAUUUUUGAUAUGCAAAAUCAAAAUACUUUUAAUAAUUAUAGUUAUUAAUUAAUGAGUAUAAUUCGAGAUAAAUUUUGUUGGUGACUAAUCGAUUGAUUUGAGGUGAAGUUGUGUAAUUCCCUAUCUAACUAAUGAAUGUGGGUUUUCAGUCACUUUCGAUUGGCUGCUGAUCUUCUUGCAAAAAAUUACUGUGAUAGUCUGUUUUGUUUAAUUUUGUGUUUAAAACAUAUUUUUUAAAAAAAAUUAAAAUUUUUAAUUUUUUUAUUUCAAAUUAAUAUUUUUAAAAUAUUUUCAUAUCAUUUUAAUAUAUAAAUAUCAAAAAUAAUUUUUUAAAAAUAAAAAAUUAUUAUUUUAAUAUAUUUUCAAAUAAAAAACACUUUAAAAACAACUACACUUCCCAACAUCCAAAAACAUACUUUCUGGUCCGUGCAGAGCAGUGAUACAACCUUGCUCGAAACGCAUGAAUGAACCCUGUAAGAACACUGUACACCUAAUAAUUGGUUAAUAUCAUCUUAAUUAUAAUUGUAAGCAGCAACAUUGGCAAGCAUUUUCUAAAGCUAGCUUCCAGGAUUCAACUUCCUUGUGAAUCCUGCCUUCUUUUUUUUCUGGAGGAAAAGAAGAGUACUGAGCUGUAACUUUUUAUCCACCAAGUUUUGUCGUCCAUAAAUGUUUGUCUCCUCGGGAAAGAGAAGCUUUGUGUCACCUUUUACUGUUCUGUUAUUUGAAAACAUUUGAAAAAAGAAAGAUGUUUGGACUGUGUGAAUCCACAACGCGAAUGUAUCUGAACGCGCGAACGAACAGUGAGCUCAGCAAAUCUUUUAGUGUUUUGUUAGUUAAUAUAUAGCUAAUAUGAGACAGUAAUAAUUUCUCCUCUGUUCUUUUUUUAAUUAAAGCUUAAUUUCAAUGAAUCAAGACAAAACUUUAUCUGCAGAAAUCCACAACGUUGAUGCUUUCAGUAUUUUAGUUUAAGCAACUUAGCAAAAUUUAAUAAAAAAUAUAUAUUAAAAAAUAAUAUAAAUCAUAUCUUGAAAUUUUACUCAAAAACUUGGACAAAGUCAAUGCUUUGUCUUUAUCUUCUUUUUGACGAGACAACGGGAUUUAAGCUUCAAAACCUGCGUUUGGGGUCCCGAUAAGGUAAUCACCUAUAAAUUCUUCUAAUCGUGAGAUUCUUUUAGCUGAGAUCUCAGUCUAUCUUUGCAUCUCUUGAGUAUGUAAGGGCUAAUGGAGUGAGUUCAUUGAUGUAGAGAAGAUGGGAGAAAUUCGGUAGAAGGCAAAAAAAUAGAAAGAUCUUCUUACCAGGAGUCAGAUUCAAGUGAUCCAAAGACUAGGGAAUGCCCGUCCUUAGUAGGAUUUCCAGUAGUCGGUUUUAGGUUGGGGUGCUAAUAGUAGCAUAGUUGCUUAGUCACCUUCCUCUUACGUAUUACUAUCUAGGGGCUUUUAAGCUGGUGUCUUUACUUAUGUCAUUAGCAAGGUGUAAACUACUCGCUUGGUCGCUGAAAGCCCUUCCCUUCGAAGGAAAUGUACCUGUCCUAGCAAUCUCUGCAGCUCCUUCUUUUUCUUGCUGCUUGGGCCUUAGCCUUGAGUCAUUCCGCUAUCAUUCGAAAUGGUCUAUGUCGUAGAAGGUGAAAUCUCAUAGGCAGAUGUAGUCUGGUAAUCCAGAAGUGAUGCAUUUCUUUAUGAGGGAAACUGGCCCAUAGCCCUCUUCUUUUUAUUUUCAGCGAACCGCGCCCCAUUCUCACUGCCACAAGGCCCAGAGCCCAUUAUUCUAAAUCUAAAGCAGCCUAGCCAAGGCAGGCUUUCGAGCAGGCAGGACAGAUGCCGAUUCUACCUUAAACUUUUAAACUUUUGGGUAAGGUAACAUAAUAUAAUUUAUAUUAUUUUCUAAGUGAAAGUUUUUUGGACUUGAAACUUGUAUAAGUUCACUUUACCUUAUGCUUAAUGUUUAUCAAAUAAAUGAGGAUGGUGAGAUUCGAACUCGUGACCACUUGGUCAUCUAGGUUCUGAUACCAUGUCAAAGAACCAAUUCAACCUAAAAACUUAAGUUUUUAGAUGAGAUCUCAGGAUAUGAUUUAUAUUAAUUAAACAGAGUUCUCCAGAUUUCAUGAUCAGCCGAGUCUCUAACUCACUUUGACCCUUUAUCAUAGUUCCAAUUAAAUUAUUUUAGGAAACUAUGGUGAUUUGAUGAUGCUUACAUGCAGCUGAUAAAAUUGUUGAUGUAAAUUAUGAAAGCCAGAGUUGAAUCCAAAUGAACAAUAUCGAUCCCCUAAAUAAUAAAUUAAACUACAGCAGUUUCCAAUUCACUGCAAUAUCUACUCUGAGGCAAUCCAAUAGCCAAGAACUUACAAUAGUUGCGUAACCGGUUAGUUAAUUGCUUCUUUCUUGAAAGAAUCUUCCAUUAACUUUGCUUGUCUUUCCAUCUUCUCUUAGCUAGAUUGAACUUCCCAUUCCCCUUUCAUGGCCUUUGAUUCCUGUAUAAAACUGGCAAUCUGUUCCACGCCAGCCAUUGCAGGUGUGUUGAUAAGAUCUUUGUUGGCAUUAGCUGUAUAUUGAUUUAGUUGAGAGUUUGUAGGAGAAAGUUUAGUAAUUGAUUUAUUCCACAACUGUACAAGUCCUAUCUGUAGUAGGAAUCCGUAGUUUACAAGAACACUAUCUCUGUGUAUCUAUAUAUAGGAGCACUGUAAACUUAAGUUAAUUCAAUUGAGUGAAAUACAAAUUGAAGAACUCUUUCUUUUCUAACAUGGUAUCAGAGCGAUACAUAAAAACUAUUUUCUUUUUCCUUUAAAUUAUUGAAAGCUGUUAUUGUAACAAUAGCAACAGCACAGAAGACGAUGGCAACCCCUACUGAUUUAGUGGAACAAAAUCAACAAGGAACUGCUGCUAUCCUUGAAGAUUUAACCACAAGAAUGACUCAGGUUUUGACACAAAACCAGACCCCGACAUCUGCAGUGACAUAUGAUACUGCUACACCGAUUACUAUCAAACUGAAUGGAACCAACUACGCUCUAUGGUCCCAAAUCGUUGAGAUGUAUAUCUCAGGAAAAGACAAACUAGGAUAUAUAAAUGGUGAUCUUCCACAACCAGAUCCGAACGAUCCUACAUUCAGAAGAUGGAGGACAGAAAACUCUAUUGUAAAGGGUUGGUUGAUCAACUCAAUGGACCCCUCCCUAUUCAGCAACUUUAUUCGGUUUCCAACAGCAAAACAGGUAUGGGAAUCAAUUGCUACAACCUAUUUUGACGGGAAUGACAAAUCUCAGGUAUAUGAUUUGAAGAGACGGGUCACUCGAAUAAGACAAAGUGGAGAAUCCAUCGAGUCAUACUACAAUGGUCUUCAAAGCCUAUGGAGGGAAAUCGACUUUCGCCGCCCAAAUCCAAUGGAGUGCGCAAGUGAUAUACAGAAAUAUAACACCCUACUUCAAGAAGAUCGGGUUUAUGUUUUCCUUGAUGGACUAGACGAUAGACUUGAUAAAAUCAGAAGUGAUGUACUUCAAUUACAACCAUUUCCAACCGUUGAACAAGCCUAUGCCUAUGUCCGAAGAGAAGACACCAGACAAUCAGUCAUGCUCACAACUAAUGGUGGUCCUACAGCUUCUGUAAUGGCAAUUAGAGGGGGAAAAACCAGUCCACUACUACAUAUGCCAAAAGGACAAACAGGGUAUGCAGCACCAGGGGGAGGGAAACCAAAUUUGCUAAAGCUCAAAGGACAGACAGAGGGUGGAGGACAUGGUUGUUCUCAUUGUGGGAAUGUAAAACAUACACGUGAAACUUGUUUCAAGCUGCAUGGCUACCCAGAAUGGUGGAAUGAACUCAAAGCAAAGAAACUAAAGGAAGCUAAUGGUGGAACUGGAAGAGCAUCAAUAGCAUAUGCAGAACCCCAACUCUCUCUUACUCCUCUUAUAGAAUCAAAAGCAGAGACUUCUAUUAAUCAUAGUGAUCAAGGUAACGACUGUUAUUAUAACAGCAGUGCUUUCAUAGUCUCUAAGGAACAGAGAAAGGAUGACUGGAUAGUGGACUCUGGUGCAACAGACCAUAUGACCUUCAGUCCAGAUGAUCUUGCCAAUCACACAGAACCAAGAAGAACGAGUAUUUCUAAUGCUAACGGGGUCAUGUAUCCAGUUAUAGGGGCUGGAACAGUGCACUUAUCAUCAUCAAUAUCUUUACCUAAUACUCUUUAAGUACCAUCUCUUACAAAUAAAUUACUGUCUGUAGGACAAGCUACUGAGGAAUUAAAUUGUAUAGCACUAAUGUAUCCAACAUUUUGCUUUUUCAGGAUAUUCUCACGAAGGAGAUCAUUGGGCGUGGUACUAAGAGAGAGGGUUAUACUACAUGGAUGAUUUCAGUUCUGGCAGAGUCAAUACGGUGAAACAUUCAUCCAGCACAAAGGAAACACAGAUUUGGUUAUGGCAUGCUCGGUUGGGACACCCGUCAUUCAGUUACAUGAGGCAAUUAUUUCCACAAUUAUUUUCUGGUCUGAAUUAUUUAGAGUUUAAAUGUGAGACUUGCAUCUUAGCAAAGAGCCACCGUGUACCCUUCCCUAUAAGCUUUAAUAAAAGUGAUGCUCCGUUUGCGUUGAUUCAUUCGGAUAUUUGGGGACCAUCUCCUAUCACCACAGUCCAUGGUAUACGUUGGUUUGUGACUUUUAUAGAUGAUUGUACCCGAAUGACAUGGUUAUAUUUGCUGAAACGUAAGGAAGAGGUAUUUGGUGUAUUCUGUGCCUUUCAUGCUAUGAUCCAGAACCAAUUUUCAGCAAAAAUCAGAAUCUUGAGAUCAGAUAAUGGUGGAGAAUAUGCAAACCAAGAGUUUGUGUAAUAUUGUCACAAACAUGGUCUUCUCCAUGAAUUCUCCUGCAGCCAAACUCCACAACAAAAUGGCGUGGCCGAACGAAAGAAUAGACACAUUUUGGAAACUGCUCGUGCAUUACUAAUUGGGGCACACGUACCUCACCACUACUGGGAUAAAGCUGUAGUAACUGUUGUCCACCUAUUGAAUCGCAUGCCUUCUAAAGUCUUAGAAUUCAAGACUCCAUUACAGGUUCUGUCCAAUCAUGCUCCAUUACCAUCUGUACUCAUGCUUUCCCCACGUGUAUUUGGAUGUGUAGCAUUUGUCCAUCUACAUAAAAACCAACGAAGCAAACUAGAUUCAUGUGCUGAUCGAUGCAUUUUUCUGGGGUAUGUCACAAACAAGAAGGGCUAUUGUUGCUACAAUCCUACCACAAAACGUACCUACAUCACAAUGGACGUCACAUUCUCAGAAUCUGAGAAUUAUUACUCAUCAUCAGUAUCCACUUCUCCUCUUCAGGGGGAGACAUGGAAGGAAGAACAAAAGUGGUGGGAUUGCCCAAUUAUAACACCAACAGUGAAAGAAAAGGAUGCUGCAGUGACAGAAAGGGAUGAUGCAAAUGUUGUUAAUCUUCCUGCAGAUAUUGUAGUAACAACAACACCAGUGGUAGAAAAGGAUGAUACAGUGGAUGAUGUAGCUAUAACAGAAGCAGAUGCCACAGGAAGUGUUACAACAGACGAUGCAACAGUGCUAGAAAAUCUUGAACAUCACACGCCCAGCAGACAAACCCCUCUACUUCUUGUACCCGACAAUGAUCAUUCCUUGCCAGAGAAUAUCCAUAAGGUAACCUCUCUUUCUCCACCUCCUAACCCUAUUUUGGAUACUCCUGUUGGUUAUCAGUUACCUGCCAGGCAUAAUAGGGGUAAGCCCCCAGCUCGAUAUUCACCCAGCUCGAUAUUCACCCAGCACUGAAGGAAAACAAUCACAGUAUCCUAUCUCUAAUCAUGUAACUACUCAAAGGCUGGCCAAACCUCUCAAAGACUUCACCAAUAAGUUGUCUGCUUGCCAUAUCCCUCAUGAAAUUCAGGAAGCCUUAACUGAUCCUACAUGGACAAGAGCAGUAGAGGAAGAUAUGGAAGCGCUAGAAAAGAACAGAACAUGGGAACUUAUUCCGCUGCCAGAGGGGAAGAAAACAGUUGGGUGUAGAUGGAUUUUCUCCAUUAAGCACAAAGCAGAUGGAACAAUUGAACGAUACAAAGCAAGAUUGGUAGCCAAGGGAUACACACAGACGUAUGGAGUGGAUUAUCAGGAGAUGUUCUCUCUAGUAGCAAAACUAAAUACUGUCAGAGUAUUAUUAUCUUUGGCAGCAAAUUUAGAUUGGCCACUACACCAAUUUGAUGUCAAGAAUGCCUUCCUUCAUGGAGACCUUGAGGAGGAAGUGUAUAUGGACAUCCCACCGGGGUAUACCUCAUCCCCUACCGCUGGAAUUGUUUGCAAAUUACAAAAGGCUUUAUACGGGCUGAAGCAAUCACCACGUGCUUGGUUUGGCAGGUUUAGUAUGGCUAUGAAAAAAUAUGGUUUUCAACAAAGCAACUCUGAUCACACUUUGUUCCUAAAACAACGACAGGAAAAGGUAACUGCCUUGAUAAUUUAUGUAGAUGACAUGAUCAUUACUGGAGACGAUACAGAAGAAAUCUAUAAGUUGGAGAAACAUUUGGCUACUGAGUUUGAGAUGAAGAGUUUAGGAGGACUGAAGUAUUUCUUAGGAAUUGAAGUGGCUAGAUCAAAACGAGGCAUAUUUCUUUCACAGAGAAAGUAUGUGCUAGACCUACUAACUGAAGUAGGAAUGCUUGACUGUAAGCCAGCCGACACCCCAAUGGUUCAGAAUCAGAAACUUGGGGAUUCUUCAGAGCAAGUUCCAACCAAUAAGCUCAGGUAUCAACGAUUGGUGGGAAAAUUGAUUUAUCUAUCACAUACUCGUCCAGAUAUUUGCUAUGCUGUCAGUAUAGUCAGCCAAUUCAUGCAUUGUCCAAGUGAAGAGCAUAUGGAUGCUGUAGUAAGAAUACUUCGUUACUUAAAAUCAGCUCCUGGAAAAGGGCUUCUAUUUUCCAAGAACGAUCAUCUAGAGGUUGAGGGGUACACAGAUGCUGACUGGGCAGGAAGCAUAUCUGAUAGAAAAUCUACGUCUGGAUACUUCACGUUUAUUGGUGGCAACUUGGUCACAUGGAGGAGCAAGAAACAAAAAGUAGUUGCCUUGUCAAGCGUAGAGGCUGAGUUUCGAGGGAUGGCAAAGGGACUAUGUGAACUACUUUGGCUCAGAAGAUUAUUGUCAGAAAUUGGUUUUGGUCCCAAAUCAAGAAUGAACCUGUACUGUGAUAAUAAAGCUGCUAUUGAAAUAUCUCAUAACCCAGUUCAACAUGACCGCACAAAACAUAUUGAGGUAGACAGGCAUUUUAUUAAACAAAAUCUUGAAGAAGGAGUGAUUAAUUUUCCAUUUGUCAGAUCAGAGAAUCAACUUGCAGAUAUCCUUACAAAAGCCGUCUCCAGCAAAAACUUUCAGAGCUCUCUUGACAAGUUGGGCAUCGAAGACAUCUUUGCACCAACUUGAGGCGGAGUGUUGGCAUUAGCUGUAUAUUGAUUUAGUUGAGAGUUUGUAGGAGAAAGUUUAGUAAUUGAUUUAUUCCACAACUGUACAAGUCCUAUCUGUAGUAGGAAUCCGUAGUUUACAAAAACAUUAUCUCUGUGUAUCUAUAUAUAGGAGCACUGUAAACUUAAGUUAAUUCAAUUGAGUGAAAUACAAAUUGAAGAACUCUUUCUUUUCUAACAAUCUUUUGACCUUCGCUUUGCAGUACAAAAGACCGAAUUUUCUUGCUAACAGUUAUAGGGUGUCACUGUUGAAGAUCAAUCAAGAAUUUUCUAGAAUUCCUUAGCUGUUAAGGAAACAUUUGCUGGUGUGAACAAGCCACGAGUCAGUGCCGAUGUGGAAAGAAAAGCAUGUCCAAAGUCAUUUAUCUGCAAUUUCAUGUAGAACGAAUAAUCUAUUUGUUUAUGAGUUCUUGCAACAUUGCAGAACCCAAACAUUUUAGGAGUUUUUGCAUAGGUUCUUUAUUAUUGAAUAAUCUAUUUGUUUAUGAGUUUUUGCACCAAACAUCAUCGUCGGCUAAUUCAAUGGCUAUCUGGUGGAUAAGCUGGUGGUGGCAGGCCUGUGCAUUUGUUUCUUCAAGGAGAGAGUGCUAGGGUUUUAUGGAUGGCAGUGGCUUGGGCUGGUGUGUUGGUGAUGGAAAAGGAUUUUUUUUUUUUUUUUUUUAAUCGGGUGUUUGGACCGUAUCACAAUUAAUUUUAGACUCAUUAAACAUCCUAUAAAUCUAGUAAACAUGUAAAUCAUCCAUGAGAUAACAUACCUACAUAAAUAAAACUUAAAUCCUGGUCCGAAGAAAGGAACAAAUCUCUUUAAUCGUUGAGCUGUUUUUUUUUCUUGGAGUAAAAGAGGAGUGAGCUGUAAUAGUUAUCGGGUGCACUGUUGAAGAUCAAUCAAGAAUUUUCUAGAAUUCUUUAGCUGUUAAGGAAUUAUUUGCUGGUGUGGCCAAGUCACAAGUCAGUGCCAAUGCUGAAAGAACAGCAUGUCAAAAGUCAUUUAUCUUGAAUUUCGUGCUUGUUUCAGAUUUUUAUUUUUAAAAUUGUAUUUGUUUUAAAAAUAUAUUAAAUUUUUUUUUAAUGUUUUAAAUAAUUUUCAUACGCUAGUAUAAAAAAUUUUAAAAUUAUUUUAAUAUAUUUUUUAAAAGACACUUUCGUAUAAAAAACAAAAUGUAUCAAAACACUCUCGUCACAAAAAGUAAAAAGAUUGUAUCUAGUUGUACUGAUUAAAGCAAGAUACAUUAUUUAAUAAUAAAGAAUAUAAUUUCUAUUUUUAUUUUUUAAAAAUUUAUUUAUUUUUAUUUCAAAUUAAUUUUUUAAUAUUUUUAAAUAUACUUUCAAACCGACCACGCAACAGCUCUCUCUCUCUCUUGUGUAAUUUAUUGGGUGCUGUGAGGGGGUGAGAAAAAGAAAGAUACCCAUGUUCAAACGAAUUGAACUAAGAACGAUUUUUUAUUAAAAAAAAAAAAAAGCUGUUAGUAAAAAUAAUUUUUUUUUAUCCCACUACAUCUUGAAUAUCUCAUAUAUAAACUAUAUUAUAUAUAAAUAUAAUAAAUAAUAAUAUGAUAUUAAAGAAUAUCAUAUUAAUUUAUGAUUAGGUAUGAGUGGCGUAAGAAAUAUUACUAAAAUAAGAGUGUUUAUUGUGUGAGUGCUUUAAUAUCAUAUUAAUUUAUGAUUAGGUAUGAGUGGUGUGAGAAAUAUUACUAAAAUAAGAGUGUUUAUUGUAUGAGUGCUUUAAUAUCAUAUUAAUUUAUGAUUAGGUAUGAGUGGUGUUAGGUAUGAGUGGUGUGAGAAAUAUUACUAAAAUAAGAGUGUUUAUUGUGUGAGUGCUUUAAUAUCGUAUUAAUUUAUGAUUAGGUAUGAGUGGUGUGAGAAAUAUUACUAAAAUAAGAGUGUUUAUUGUGUGAGUGCUUUAAUAUCGUAUUAAUUUAUGAUUAGGUAUGAGUGGUGUGAGAAAUAUUACUAAAAUAAGAGUGUUUAUUGGGUGAGUGUAACAUACCAUUAACUAUGGUGUGAUUUUCAUGCUUCACCGCUAAAAAUAAAAGCCUACUGUGUUUUAUUUACUCACCAUUGUAUCCCAGAAUCCAUACCCAACAAUUGGUACCAGAGCUGUUGCCCAAAAUUUGUACCAACAGUCACCACCUCCUUGACUCCAGAUUGGGGUGUCUGGUUGGCUUGCUUGAACACCAUUUCAUCUCAAUCCAUGGCAACCAUUAGCUCGAAGGCAUCUGUGGACAAGAAGAGCUUGGUUUGCUUGAACACCAUUUCAUCUCAAUCCAUGGAAACCAUUAGCUCGAAGGCAUCUGUGGACAAGAAGAGCUUGGCUUGCUUGAACACCAUUUCAUCUCAAUCCAUGGCAACCAUUAGCUUGAAGGCAUCUGUGGACAAGAAGAGCAACAGAGUUGUAUUUGUUGAAUCUGACGAGCUCUUUGUUGACAUCCUUUUCAGUUUUUUGACAAUGCCCAUGGGAACAAUCAUCCAUCUCAUCAGUAAUCUGUCACCGACAAAUGGGAUUGGUUGCAUGAACAACUUAUAUAAAAGUGUUGAAAAUAUAGAUGUUAAGUAUUUCCAGACUGAAGCAUGCAAGGACAUGUUGCUACAUCCUCGUAAUUCCGCUGCAGCCUAUUGUAAGAGCCUAAAACUGAAAAUUGAUGACAUUGAUACUUCAAGUUUCUUUUGUUGCGAGAGUUCCCGAUGUAUUGCUUCUGGCUACAAGUUGUUGAGUCAAUACAAAAAUCUUUAUUGUGGUUGUAGACGUCCCAUGAGCCGUAAUUUGAAUCUAUAAUGCCCGGCACCAUCCAAUAGUGGAUCUGACGAAAGAAAUCGAGGAGUGUUUGUUAAAGAACUGGCCCGAUUUGUUGUAAGUGACUAUUUUCAAGUGAUGCCAGCAUCAACCUCAGCAAGCAUUUCUCUUCUUACAAAGCUUGGAGUCAUGGAUACAAGUAACAUCGAGGAGAGGAUUUUUGACAUUGGAGUAACAGAGGUAUGAUCUAAUAUAUGAGCUGUUGCAGUAUUGUCUAGCCUUGUGCUAUGUACAGGCACCCUUUUAAUGUCUCUGUUUUAGGUUUUGGAAUUGCUGCAGUGCUCAUUGGUAUCAAGGACACCUCUGACCGAAGUUUUGCUUUCUCGCAAGGAAGUUCCCGAGUUAAGAAAUGAAGAUUCCCUUCAAAGAACCUCUCUUAUGCAUGAAAUACUAGAGCAUCAAACAGAAGAAAAUGGUGAGACGUCUGUUAGGCUUGUGGUUUGCAAAUCCAAGAAAGUGGUAUGUUACGCAGAAGCGUCAAAAGAUUUUGUUGAUUUACUUUUUAGUUUUCUCACCAUUCCACUUGGGUAUUUGAUGAAUGAAAAGCAUGGUGGAAAAUCAAAAGGAUGCAUCCACCACCUAUAUGACAGUGUCAGUGAUCUCGAUGCUAUGAAAUACCUGAAGUCGAAUGACAUUAAAGAGAUUCUUCUAAAUCCUAAGAUUGCACCUGGUUCUGGCUAUAAGAACCAGCCACUAGGUGUUAAGGAAGCUGUUGAUAACCAGCAGUACUACUAUAAUUGGAAUUCUUCCAAGCCACUAAGAACUGAAAGCAUCUGUACUCGCGGUUAUACACCCCCACUUUUAACUAUGAUGGAUCCCAAAUCACCCUACAAAGAGGGCACAGAAGGUGAUGGAUUUUUGCUAGAUCCUGCUAUGUUCACAGUAAGUGACGAUCUUGUUGUUGCACCAAUAUCGCCUGUCUCAGAACUAUCCUUACUGGAAAAAUUGAAGAUACCAUUUAAUGACAUCUAUGUCUGCGAGGUUCAAAUUGGAAGAGAAGAGGUAAGUCAAACUAACUAAUUUCUGCACUCUCUUAUUAUCCAUGAUAUUUAAUAUUUAUUAUAAAGCUCUUAAGAAAAAUCAUGCCCGUCAACUUCAUGCUAUGUCUUUUUAAUUUUGUUAAGUUUAUUUAUUUUUUAUUCUAUUUAUUCAACCAAACAGAUUUAUAGGAUAGAAGUGGCAUAAAAACUAUUUUACCUGUUCUUCUAAGAUCCUUUUUUUGUUAAUGUCAUUUGUUAAAAUUCGCAUCAUAUAUAACAGUCUUCAAACAGGAAUAUUGGUGUGAUGGGCAUUUUUUUUUUCUGCUGCAGGCUUCCCGUCUCUUAGCAGCUUCUUUUGUAUCUGAAUCUGCUCUUACUGAUCUUCCUACGUAAGAUGCCUUCAUUUCCGAUGUUCUGAAAGAAUAAUCUUGAGGACAUCUGUGUGCUUAAUUGAUCAAGUAUAUUUUCUGGUCAUCUUGAACCUGGUUUUUUAUUAAUGUGAUAGAUAGUCUGUCAUGUAAGUCGAAUUAAGGUGCUGCUUUUGCUUCAUAAUACCUAAACUAUAGUUGUUUUCUCUUUUGACUCGUUACUUGGGCGUAUAUAUAAUUGCCUGGAAACACAAUUUAGAAAGGGCUUACAGUUUCAGACAAGAUUAAUUUGACUCCAAAUUGGUAGGCAGAGAGUAUCUUGAACCACACCGAAUAAAACUCUCACUUGGUGGCAAAGCAUACACUAGAAAUUAUGCCUUCGCGAGGAAACACAGUUUUUUUAAAAGUUCUAAAUAUCUAUUCAGCGUUCCUGCUAUCUCCUUCUGCAAUCUAUGAUGAAGUCUCAAACAGUAUUUUAAGUUGGUCUGGACUAUUUUGUAAGCUUUUCAUAACGAAUCAUUAAUUAAUUGAAUGGCAGCAUCAUGAAAUGUAAUCAUCAGGCUCCCUCGUAACAAUCAGCUGUCCCAUUGGGGUGACUUGCACCACCUUUUCGACUAUAGAUUCAAAAUAACAAAUGCCUUCAAUCAUAAAAAUCGGAAACAUAACUAUGCCGGUGGAAAUCCACAACAUCGAUGCCUUGGUACUUCAGUGUAUGUAAAACAUAUUUGGUGAUAUACGGAAACAGAAACUUUCAGAUCAGAUAACCUGAAUCUCUUACUUGGAAAUUGUUUAAAAUUCCAAUUAAAUCGCAAGGCAAUGUUAUCUACUCCAAAUUGUCAUUUUCUAUUCUUAAUAAAUUUCUAGUUCAUUUACUGAGCAUAUUUAGGUUUUUGAUACGAAGGAAUUUCAAAACUGGGAAAUAAUCUGUGUUUUUCUGCUGUUUUUUAAAAACUUCGCAGCCAAUACUGUGUAGUUAUUGUCCUGAAACUUCUCUGUAGUGCUACAGCCAGAAGGCCCAGAACAUAAGAUAUAUCAUCUCUUCCCUUUCUAGUUAUUGUUGUCAACAAUACGAAGCUAUAACCCAAGCCUCAGGGGCUGGAACUUUACAUUGCUGCCAUACCGUUCAUUUACUUGUACCACUACCUGAGACAGAGAAUCGAAUAUAACUACGAUAUGGAUUUCUCUGUUUCAGUGAUUGAUCUCCCCAGAACAUCAUUGUGCUGCAUGCUUCACAUCUUUGGUAGCUUCCUUUAUCGAUCUGCGAAAAACCCUUGGCCAAUAUUCCUUCAUCAGCAAAAACUUGAGAAUAGUUUUCAUUGGUGCUGGUUUUGGUUUUUUGUUUCUUUUGUGUGCGCGCAAAAUUUGGAAGCUAUGAGCAUAGGUACAUGAUUAAGAAUAGUACAUUUAAGAUGUUGAAUGAAUAGCAAUGGUAGAUGAGUCUAGUAAACAUAUCAUUAUACAAUAUAUUUCUAUUGGCUCAAUUUACACAUUCUCAUUGCAUAUACAUGCGCCAAGGGCUAGUGGAAAAUCCAGGGAAAUGACUCUGCCUUUUCAGGUCUCGAGUAAAUAAUGUCUCUGGUCCUAGUCUAUAAAGAAGGCUGUUCACCAUGGAUCUUUCUCCAAGGCUGUUUCUGCUUUCAGGUUUCGAAUUUUGGUACGAUGCAUGACAAUUUAAGUAAGAAGCAAUUAGAUAAAGGAUUUCUGUCUUUAAAUUCCUGUUCUAUUCUUGAGGAUUGUAAAUGUUGGGGAAAUAGAAAGUACUAUUAAACAUUAAUUCGCAAUUAUGACUGAUAUUAUGAUUCCCCCAAUUCAUAGCAUGACCCUAGCUGUUAGAACAAUCUAUAGGUGUUUUUGUUGCAGGCUUCACGUCUCUUGGCAGCUUCUUUGAUUUCUGAAAUUUGCGCAGAGUAUGAACUAAGCCUCUUCAGGGCCCAAAUCAAGGUAUCCAUUCCGAAUCUCAGGCCAAAACAAAAGAAUAUUUUGACUUCAUAUCUCGUAACUAUAAGUUAUACAAUCAAAUAGGUGCACGCUUUGGAACACACAAGGAACAAACCAGUUUGAGAAAGGAUCGAAGCAGGUGCUAGAUUGAUACACAGUAGUAGUGUAUGAGCUUCUGGAAUUUGUCAAGUUACAAACACUAUUAAGGUGGUCUAGUCUAUUUUUGUGCUUCUUGUAAUGAAAUUGAACUGCACGGUGAAAUGGUUUCUCUGCAGCACCACCUGUAAUCAUCAUGUUCACCUGUAAUCAUCCAUGCCGUUCAAGCAACUAAAGGAUGCAAAAUGGUCGCUCCGCCUUUUGAUUUCCUGUAUUUUAAUUUCUGGCGUUGAGGGCUUCAUAUCUCUGAAUUGGCAGUGAGUCACUAGGCAAUGCUUCACUCGUACAAACCUGAAACAAGAACUAUAGAUUUUAUAAGUUAACUGUUUUUUUUUUAACUUAGUUAAGAUAACCCGGAUUGACUUGAACUUUUUUCUCAAAUCGUAUCCUUUCUCGAAGUUGAUAUUUUUUUUUCAUUUCUAUCUUUUAGGAUUUAGUUAUUAGGCUCUUUGUGAUUUUUUUUGCUUUUUUUUUAUGUGGGAUUAUUAUAAGUUGCGGGUUAGUCAAGUUAACUUAAGUAAAAUUUAGUUUUUUUUAUUGAUUUAUCUUAGGUCUUUUUUUUUUCUAGGCCUUUUAAAAAAAUAGUUUUUUUUUCAUAUUGUGGAUCAUGUGGUAGUCGAGUUAACUUGGUUUUUUUAUAUUUAUAUUUUUUUAAAAAAAUUUAUUUCAUCCUUUAACAUUAGAUUAUUGUGCCUUGAGCUUUGUGAUUCUUUUCGAUUUUUUUUUUGUUGGGUUAUCCCAAAUCACAAGUUAGUCAAGUUAAUCGGGUUGACUUGACUUUUUUUUUUAAUGUUUUUUUAUUGAUUUAACUUCAGUCUCUCUAAAAGCAUUUUCUUUUUAUCUCGGAAUUGCAUAAAUGGUGGUAGAUUUGUUAAGUUAAUCAAGGUUGACUCGAGUUAUUAUCUAUCGCCUAGACAUCUUUUUUUUAUAUUGGAAAAAAAUUGACUCGUCCUGUAGGGUAGUGUGGGCCACCCAUCUAGUAUAAAACUAAAAAAAAAGAGGGUUUCAUUGUAUUCCUCCUGGCAUAAGACUAUUCACUUGGAUAUUGUUUUUUUUUUUUUUUACUUCCCUAGUUUUUCCUUUUGAUCUAUAUAUAUAUAUUUUUUUUAAUUUCAUCAUUUAAUGUUAGGUUUAUUUUGGAUUAUGCUUCAUAUUUUUUUUAAUUUACUUUCUAUGAGAUUAUCCUAAAUUUAUGACUCGAAUUACAAGUUUAUAUAUUAACUCAUUUGACUCAAAUUUUUUUCUUAUUUUCGUAUGUCUUUUUUUUCAUCUUAAAUUUGUCUUUCAAAACUAGGUUGAUUGGGGAUUAGGAUUCGUUAUUUUAUUUUGUUCCACUUUCUAUGAGGUUAUUUCCAUUUUAUAACUUGGGUCACAGGUUAACCUUGGUUGACCUAAGUUAUUUUUUUAUGUUUUUUUUAAUUGAUUUUUUUUCAAUUUCAUCUUUUAAUAUUGAGUUGAUUUAAAAUUGGACUAAAUAAUUUAUUUUGAUUUACUUUCUAUUAUGUUAUCCUGGUUUCAUGACGUGAAUCACAAGUUUGUCAGGUUAACCAAAGUUGACUAAAAUCAUUUUUUUUAUUUUUUAAUUAAUUGUUUUUAAGUUUCAUCCUUUAACAUUGAGUUUAUUGAAAAUUAAACUUUCUAAUUUGUUUUGAUUUAUUGUUCAUGGUGUUAUUAUGAUCUUAUGACUUAGUAUACAAGUUGAUAGGUUAACUCGAGAUGACUCGAAUCGAUUUAAUAUAUUGUUCUCUCGAUGUUUAUUAAAAACAUAUCACUUUAAAUAUUUAUUUUGAAUCAAAUUAUAUUUUUAUCGGUUUUCUGAAUUGUAUUUAGACUCGUCAAGACGACCAAGUCACUUCAGAUCAAUCUCCAAACAAUUUUAUUUUUUACUAUUAGAAAAAAUUUAAUCUGACUCGCAGUGUAAAGCAGGGCAAUUAUCUAGUAAUAUUUAAAAUACAUCCUUAAUUAAUCUAAUCUAAGAAAAAUAUAUUUUUUUUUAAUAUACUAAAUAUAUUUUAAAUAAUUUUAUCUUCAACAAGUUAGAUAUAAGGUGUUGGAAAAAAGAUUUUUUUUAAGAAAAAAGGCUAAGGGAGCAAACGAGCAUGGAAGAUUGAGCAUGUCAAUGCCAUGAAAAAAAAAAAAGGCGCAUGGGCUUUGCCAAUACAAGCUCGUGUGUUUGAUUUUUUUAUUAUUUUUUUGGAGUUGACAAAGUCAAAUUCAUGUUAUUUUUAAAGGAUGCAAUCAUGUUGUCUAAAGGUCAAAUUCAGGUUAUGCAAGGUGAUUUAAAAAAACAUGGGAGAUUUUUUUUUUUGAUAAAAAAACUUAAUUUUUCAUUCAUUUUUAUUUGAAAAUACCUUAAAAAACAUUCUUUAAACCUUAAAUAAUUAAUUCCUCAAUUCAAGAUUUCUCAAAUUGAUUUAAAAACACAAAAUUAAAUAAAACAUAAAAAACCUCAGCCAACCCUAAUUUAUUUUUUUAGGUGAUAAGAAAACACUACAAUGAAAAAUUUUCCCCACAAAAUUGGACCACCCAAUAUCCUUUUCUCUCUUGUUGUUUUAUGGCUAUCCUCUCUCUUCUCUCUCAAGCUAACGGACCAAAACAUGAAGAAAAUAAAGCACCGGACCAAAGUGUAGAAACUUAGAAAAUAGGGAUCAAGAUGAAAAUUUUUAAUUCUUAGAGUCUGAAUUAUGUUUAAUGAAAAAAAAUUGAAUUUGAUAUCGUCAGAUAUCAAUUUAAAACCCAAACUUUUUUAAAAAUAUUUCAAAAGACCCUUGCAGAAUUAACUGAGACAAAUAAUAUAGCCCAAUCUAAAAUUAGCUAAACAUAGAAUGAUCAAAUUAAGAAAAAAAAAAUUAAGUGGCAAAAUAAAACAGAGCAAAUACUAUGCGAAUCCAUAUUCCGUCUCACAUAUUACACACAAUGAAAGGUUGAUGUCUUUUAUUUUUUUAAUUUAAUGAAAAUUUAGAAUAUAAUAUAAUAUAAUAUAAUUUAUAAUUAUAAUUGUAAUGCAUGUAACAUAAUUUAAAUCAGCACAAUGAUUUGAUCCUCGAAAAGAAAUUUUGCCAAACGGAGCAUAAUUGAUUAACAGAGCCCAUGAUUAAAUUUGGUCACAGCUCAUGUGAAAGUUUAUAUGCAAUGACAUGUUUGGCAAUGGAUAAUGGGCUAGAAUACAUACAGAGAGCAAUCGACAUUUUACUUUCCUCCUGUUACUUAGAGCAUCUCUAAUGAGAAAUGCUAUAUUAAAUAGCCAAAUAAAAAAAAUGACUUUUUGAAUAAUGUAAAUAUAACUUUUUAGAUCAUGUGCAUUCCAAUGGCAAAAAGCUAUUUAGAAAAGCCAUUUAUAUUUUAAUAUAUUUCAUGUUAAAUUAAUUUUAAUAUAAUUAUAUAACUAAUUUAGAUAUUUUAUAUAUAAUAUAAUUAUGAUGUUAUUAAUUAUAUAAUUAAUAUGAGUAAUUUAUAAAAGUAAUAUAAAAUUAAUGAAGUAAUAUGAAAGUUAAAAAAUAUAAUUUAAAAUUUAUUUAUAUGAAUAUUUUUAAUUUUAAGUUUUAUAUGUUAUUGUUAAAAAAUUAAUUUUUUAAAAGUAAAUUCAAAUUCAAACUUUGAAAAAAUGACCGCCAACAUUUUAAAUUUUAAAAUUUUAAAAUUUGAAAAAAUAACCGCCAACAUUUUAAAUUUUCAAAUUUCAAAUUUUGAAAAAAUAACCGUCAACAUUUUAAAUUUUAAAAUUUUAAAAUUUUAAAUUUUGAAAAAAUUACCGCCAACAUUCUAAGAUUUUACAAUUAGAAAAAAUAGUUCAUCUAUAAAUAUUCUCAUAUAUCUUAACAUUUUUUCUCAUCAUUUUCUUCUCUUCAAUCUUUGUUAUAUUUCAUUAAAAUUCAUCAUGAAUCAUUCUAAUUUUAAUUUUUAUGAUGCUUUUGAUUUUGAUGAUGACACUCCUGUGUUGGCUUUUCAAGUUGCUACUGUUGUGGUUGCUGAAGAAGAAUCGAAUAAUCAAGGGCGGAGAACAGGGUAUCGUGGCUCUAUUCCUGGUCACAAUAUUGUCAAUCGUAAUAGAAAGGAAGGUGAGUUAAGGUUAUAUAAUGAUUAUUUUGCAGAAAAUCCUAAAUUCACUGAAAGUCAAUUUCGAAGAAGAUUUAGGAUGAGUCGUCGUCUUUUUCUUCGGAUCGCAAAUGCAGUGGAAGCUCAUAAUCCAUAUUUCAAACAAAGGACAGAUGCUCUUGGUGUUCUUGGUUUAUCUUGCCUUCAAAAGGUAACUGCAGCUCACAGAAUACUUGCAUAUGGUAUUCCUGCAGAUCUUACUGAUGAAUAUCUUCGAAUUGGAGAAACCACUGCGAUAGAAAGUCUUAGAGCUUUCGGCAAAGCAAUCGUAGAAUUUUUUGGUGAUUGGUAUCUAAGGACACCAAACGAGGUCGAUCUUUGUCGAUUAUUAUCAAUUGGAGAGCAGCGUGGAUUUCUAGGGAUGUUAGGGAGCAUUGACUGUAUGCAUUAGAAAUGAGAGAAAUGCCCAAUUGCAUGGCAUGGGAUGUAUACUGGUCAUUGUCAUGAACCAACUAUAAUUCUAGAGGCGGUGGCUUCACAGGAUCUUUGGAUAUGGCAUGCCUUUUUUGGAAUGCCUGGAUCAUUAAAUGAUAUUAAUGUUCUUGAUCGGUCACCUAUCUUUGUUGUACUUGCUGAAGGUCGUACUGCUCCUGUCAAUUAUACAAUUAAUGGACAUGAAUAUACAAUGGGAUACUAUUUAGCAGAUGGAAUUUAUCAUAAUUAGUCAACUUUUGUUAAGACAAUCCCAAGAUCAUUAGGAGCAAAGAGAAAAUAUUUUGCAAGCAAGCAAGAGUCUGUAAGAAAAGAUGUGGAGCGGGCAUUUGGGGUGCUCCAAUCUCAUUUUACAAUUAUACAUGGACCUGUUCGAUACUGGGAUGAAGAAACACUUGCAUAUAUUAUGAAAGCUUGCAUAAUAAUGCAUAAUAUGAUUAUUGAGGAUGAAGGAGCAAUGAACCUUGGAUUUGACCAUGAACAUGAAGUCAAUUCCUUUAUAUCAGUGUCACAUGGUGAAAUACCAGAACUACAUGAUUUUCUUCAAACUCAUAAUCGAAUUAGGGAUAGAGCAACUAGCUCUCAACUACAAGAAGAUUUGAUUGAACAUUUGUGGGAACAAUAUGGCAACGAGUAGAAUCUUUAGAUUUGAACUUCUUAUGUUAUCAUAAUUUUCAAGUUUUUUUAUGUUUUUUUUUCAUUAUGUUUGUUAUCUUUUAAGUUAAUUAAUCCUACUUGUUAUUGUUAAGUGUUAGAGGAACUUUAAAAAAGUAUUAUGAAUUGAUAUCAAUUUCAUAACAAUGUAUUUAAAAUAACAAAGAAUUUUCUACAUAUUUAAUUAAAAAUACAUUACAUUACAAUAAAUCAAUCAAAGUUAAUUAAAAAUCAAAACCCCUCUUUUGCAUAAUUUCUAACUUUUUAUUUUGAAAAUACACUGCAGAAAUUGGAUCCAAAUUAGAAACAUCCAUUUUCAUAGUUUGUUCUUCUUUUUCAAUCCUGUCCAAUUCUUGUUUCUCUUGAUUUUGUUGAAUCAUCAUGGCUUGUUGCUCUAACAUAAUUUUCCUGUUUUGUUUCUUCUGAUCCUCAAUUUCAACUAGAGUAUCCUUGAAUUGUUGUAAGAGAUUCGUUACAGUUACAUCCCCAACUUUAUAUUUUCCUUGUCUAUGUUUAAGUCGUUCCUUUGCAGCCUUUUGACCGAUUGGUCUAUCUUGAUAAAUCAAUGGUUCACUAUCUUCUCCUAAACUAACAGAAUCCGGAGUAGAUGGAGUUGAUGAAGCUGGACUUGCAUUGACAUGAUCUUUUUGUUUCUUGUUUGACCUUUGAUGUUGACUUGCACGCUCAAAUUGUCAUUUGGGUUCUUUUCUUAAGAUAACCCAACAAUAUUCUAGUUGAAAUCGUUUGCCAACGCAAGAAGCAUACAUUUGCCGAGCAUCAUUAAUUUGGUAAAUAAAUAAAUAAAUUAAAUAAUGUUAAAUAUAUGUUAAACAAUUUAACAUAGAAAUGAAUAUUAACAUUACCCUUGAUUCUUCGAUCAUUCCACUUUGCUGACGAUUUUCAAUUUGAGUAACAAAUCCAACAAAUUUACCGACUUCUCUAUUUAUUUCUUGCCAUCUACUUGAGAUGCUUAUUUGUGAACGAUUAUUCAAGUUUCCUCCAUUCUCUACAAAGUAAGCAUGUACGCGAGCCCAAACUGUUUUGUUUGUUGUUCAACUCCUGUAAUUGGAUCCUUGCUUGUAUUUAGCCAUGCAGAGACAAGUAAACAAUCCUCCUCUGGUGAGAAAUUUUUACUUCUUUGUGAUUUUUUUGCCGAAUGGACAUUUAAAUUCGAGUAUGUUAAGUCAUCAAUUAAUUGAUUAGAAUCACUUGGUUGAGAGAGAAUAUCUUCUGACUCACUCAUAAGAAAGUUGGUAAAAGAGCUUGGAAAAUUUGAAUCCAUCUACAUUAAAAAAAAAAAAAACUCAAGUUAAAACCUUAUAAGAGAGUGUAAAAGAAGCUCACAUUCAAUGUCUAGCAAUUUUGUAGUUUUCAUAUCGAAUUAAUAAUAAGCAUUGCCUCCUACUUGUUCUAACAUAACAAUUUGACCAUUUUUUGGAACUAAAAGAGAAUUGAUAUACUGGUUUAAUUGCAUUUUCAACAAGACAAAAUAUAAUUGACCUCAAAUUAAAACAGACAAUCAAAAAUAAAUUUUAAAUAUGUACUCUAUCUUUUUAUCAAUAUCAACUACCAUUAUUAAUUCCUCAAUUUUAUCAAAGAUAACAACAUAAAUAAAAAUUGUCUUCCUUAACCCAUAUUAAAAACAUAAAAUAAUAAAGAAAUAAAACUCAUCAUAAAUAUUAAAUUAACAACAAAAGGUCUAAAAAAUCAAGAGAUAUAAAAAAGAAAAUAGAAAAAUCUUUUAAACAAGCAUACCUUUUAAUUUCAGCUAAUUAACACAACCGAUGUUAAUAAUUAAUCGGAGAAUAAUUGAUUCUUGUUUUUAUAAAUUUGAGAGAAGGGUGAGGCACAAUACAAAAAUGUAAAACUACAAGUUUUGUCUUCAUGUAUUUAUAGAAAAUUUCUUCUAUAUUUAAAGAAAAACAAAAAAAAAAAGAGUUGUUGGCCAACGACUAUAAAAAUAGUCGUUGGCCAACAACUAUCAUUUUAGUCAUUUCUACAGUUAAAUGUAGAAAUGGUUGUCAAGAAAACAAAUAGCCAAAAUAGAUAUUUGUUUAGCUCUUUUGUUGGAAUGCCAACAGUGAAAAAUAAAAGGCAAAUGACGUUUGACUUCUUGUUUUGCUGCUCCGUUGGAGCUGCUCUUAAACAACAAGUUUUAUACCUAUUUUUUUUUUUUUUUUAGUUUAUAAUUUAUUAGUAUUGUUAAAAAAAACUGUGAAAAAACCAUUGGCAAUCAUUUUGUAAAGCCAGCUUCCAGGAUUCAACUUCCUUGUGAAGUUUGAAUAGGGUAUUGAUCAAUAGCAUUAUGACCCCUAAUAAUUCAACUAUAAGACAACCCCACUUGAAAGUGAAAGGUUAUGUGGCUCUUUUUGACCGAAUUCCAUUUAUUAAAUAAGAGAAUAUAACCGAAGCUUACAACAUAGCAGAACCCAUCUCCCUGCACCAGACCAAAACAUUUUAGGAGUUUUUGCAUAGGUUCUUGAUUCUUGAAUACUCAAUUUGUUUAUGAGUUUUUGCACCGAACAUCAUCGUCGGCUAAUUCAAUGGCUAUCUGGUGGAUAAGCUGGUGGUGGCAGGCCUGUGCAUUUGUUUCUUCAAGGAGAGAGUGCUAGGGUUUUAUGGAUGGCAGUGGCUUGGGCUGGUGUGUUGGUGAUGGAAAAGGGUUUUCUGCCUCUCUCUUUUUCUGGAGGAAAAGAAGAGUACUGAGCUGUAACUUCCUUAAUUCAUAAAUGUUUGUCUCCUUGCUUUCGGGAAAGAGAAGCUUUGUGUCACCUUUUACUGUUCUGUUAUUUGAAAACAUUUGAAAAAAGAAAGAGGUUUGGACUGUGUGAAUCUGAACGAACGAACAGUGAACUCAGCACUGUUGAAGAUCAGUCAAGAACAAGUCACAAGCCAGUGCCACUGUGGAAAGAAAAGCAUGUCAAAAGUCAUUUAUCUUGAAUUUCGUGCUUUUUUGAGAUUUUUAUUUUUAACAGCGUUUUAAAAAUUGUAUUUGUUUUAAAAAUAUAUUAAAUCUAUUUUUUAAUGUUUUUAAUAAUUUUCAUAUGCUAGUAUAAAAAAUCUAAAAAAAUUAAAAAUUAUUUUAAUAUAUUAUUUUAAAAGCAGCUUCAUAUAAAAAAAUAAAAUGUGUUAAAACACUCUCAUCACAAAAUGUUAAAAGAAUAUAUCUUGCUGUAAUGAUUAAAGCGAGAUGCAUUACUUAGUAAUGAAGAGUAUGAUUUAUACUGUUUAGAAUUAAGGCUGAUAUUUUUAUUUUAAAAAAAUUUAUUUAUUUUUAUUUUAAAUUAAUUUUUUUCAUGUUUUUAAAUAGUUUUAAUAUUAUAAUAUCAAAAAUAAAAUUUUUUAAAAAUAUUAUUUUAAUAUAACAGUGAAAAAGUGUGGGCUUCCAAACCGACAAAGCAACCUCUAUAUACACUCUUAUUGUGUGUGUGUGAGAUACCAUUAACUAUAAAAGACUACUGUGUUUUAUUUACUCACCAUUGUUGCCCAGAGUCCAUAGCCAACAAUUCGUAUCAGAGCUGUUGCCCAACAUUUGUACCCACAGUUACCACCUCUUGACUCGCUUGAACACCAUUUCAUCUCAAUCCAUGGCAACCAUUAGCUUGAAGGCAUCUGUGGACAAGAAGAGCAACAGAGUUGUAUUUGUUGAAUCUGACGAAUUCUUUGUUGAUAUCCUUUUCAGUUUUUUUGACAAUGCCCAUGGGAACAAUCAUCCAUCUCACCGGUAAUCUUUCACCGACAAAUGGGGUUGUUUGCAUGAACAACUUGUAUAAAAGUGUUGAAAAUAUAGAUGCUAUGUAUUUCCGGACUGAAGCAUGCAAUGACAUGUUGCUACAUCCUUAUAAUGCCGCUGCAGCUUAUUGUAAGAGCCUAAAACUGAAAAUUGAUGACAUUGACACUUCAAGUUCUUUUUGUUGCCAGAGUUCCGAAUGUUCUAAUUCUGGCUACAAGUUGUUGAGUCAUUACAAAAAUCUUUAUUGUGGCUGUGGACGUCCCAUGGGCCGUAUUUUGAAUCUAUCAUGGCGGGCUCCAUCCAAUAGUGGAUCUUACGCAAGAAAUCGAGGGGUGUUUGUUGAAGGACUGACCCGAUUUGUUGUAAGUGAUUGUUUUCAAGUGAUGCCAGCAUUGCUCUUCUUACAGAGCUUGGAGUCAUGGAUACAAGUAACAUCGAGGAGAGGAUUUUUGACAUUGGAGUAACAGAGGUAUGAUCGAAUAAAUGAGCUGUUGCAGUAUUGUCUAGCCUUGUGCUAUGUACAGGCACCCAUUUUAAUGUCUCUGUUUUAGGUGGUUGGAAUUGCUGGAGCGCUCAUUGGUAUCAAGGACACCUCUGACCGAAGUUUUGCUUGCUCGUAAGGAAGUUCCCGAGUUAAGAAAUGAAGAUUCCCUUCAAAGAACCUCUCUUAUGCGUGAAAUACCAGAGCACCAAUCAGAAAUAAAUGGUGAGACGUCUGUUAGGCUUGUGGUUUGCAAAUCCAAGAAAGUGGUAUGUUACGCAGAAGCGUCUAAAGAUUUUGUUGAUUUACUUUUUAGUUUUCUCACCAUUCCACUUGGGUAUUUGAUGAAUGAAAUGCAUGGUGGACAAUCAAAAGGAAGCAUCCACCACCUAUAUGACAGUGUCAUUGAUCUCGAUGCACCGAAAUACCUGAAGUCAAAUGACAUUAAAGAGAUUCUUCUAAAUCCUAAGAUUGCACCUGGUUCUGGCUAUAAGAACCAGCCACUAGGUGUUAAGGAAGCUGUUGAUAACCAGCAGUACUACUAUGAUUGGAAUUCUUCCAAUCCACUUAUAAGAACUGAAAGCAAAAGUCCUGUUGGUUAUACACUCCCACUUUUAACUAUGAUGGAUCCCAAAUCACCCUACAAAGAGGGCACAGAAGGUGAUGGAUUUUUGCUAGAUCCUGCAAUGUUCACAAUAAGUGACGAUCUUGUUGUUACACCAAUAUCGCCUGUCUCAGAACUAUCCUUACUGGAAAAAUUGAAGAUACCUUUCAAUGACAUCUAUGUCUGCGAGGUUCAAGUUGGCAGAGAAGAGGUAAGUCAAACGAACUAAUUUCUGCACUCUCUUGUUAGCCAUGAUAUUUAAGUAAUUAUAAAGCUCUUAAGAAAAAUCAGGCCUGUCAACUUCAUGCUUAUGUCUUUUCAAUUUUGUCUUGAUCAGAACUGUAAGUUUAUUUAUUUUUUAUUCUAUUUAUUCAACCAUACAGAUUUGUAGGAUAGAAGUGGCAUAAAAACUAUUUUACCUGUUCUUCUAAGAUCCUUUUUUGUUAAUGGCAUUUGUUAAAAUUCGCAUAAUAACAGUCUCUUCAAACAGGAAUAUUGGUUUGAUGGGCAUUUUUUUUUCUGCUGCAGGCUUCUCGUCUCUUAGCAGCUUCUUUUGUAUCUGAAUCUGCUCUUACUGAUACCUUCCUACGUAAGAUGCCAAAAGAUGCCUUAAUUUCCGAUGUUCUGAAAGAAUAAUCUUGAGGACAUCUGUGUGCUUAAUUGAUCAAGUAUAUUUUCUGGUCAUCUUGAACCUGGUUUUUUUAUUAAUGUGAUAAAAGUCUGUCAUGUGUAGGAGUAAUAUUGAUUCUCAAGACUUCAUGUAAGUCGAAUUAAGGUGCUGCUUUUGCUUCAUAAUACCUAAACUAUAGUUGUUUUCUCUUUUGACUCGUUACUUGGGCGUAUAAUUGCCUGGAAACACAAUUUAGAAAGGGCUUACAGUUUCAGACAAGAUUAAUUUGACUCCAAAUUGGUAGGCAGAGAGUAUCUGAACCACACCGAAUAAAACUCUCACUUGGUGGCAAAGGAUGCUAAUUUCUUGUUUGGAACGUCUCGUGCAUGGUUGCUUCUUUUAUCUCUGAAUUGGAGGUCAGUCAAUAAAAAAUGCCUUCAGCCAUAAAAACUGGAAACGAGAAUACUUGGAUCUUCAUAGAUAUUCUCCCCUUUUCUUCUUUUUUUCCGAUGAAUGAGUAAAAGGAGUCUUAUAAGCAAAACUGAACUAUACCUGUGGAAAUCCACAACAUCGAUGCCUUGGUACUUCAGUGUAUGUAAAACAUAUUUGGUGAUAAAUGGAAACAGAAACUUUCAGAUCAGAUAACCUGAAUCUCUUACUUGGAAAUUGUUUAAAAUUCUGAAGAAUUUUGAAGCAGAGAAGAGACGUGAGACAAUGCAGUAAAACAGAGUUCUGCAUUAUAUUUUCUUAUGCUGUACAUAUGCAUAUAUAUAUAUAUAUAUUUUUGAAGCAGAGAAGAGACGUGAGACAAUGCAGUAAAACAGAGUUCUGCAUUAUAUUUUCUUAUGCUGUACAUAUGCAUAUAUAUAUAUAUAUAUAUAUAUAUACACAAAAGGAAAAACUUGAAGCAAGGAAAGACAAUCCUGCGUAUCCGUUCUCCUAACAAUAUGCUAAUAUUAUAUGUUAAUAAUAAAUACACAAUCAUAUCUAAACUAGGUAACAAAUAAGUUAUACUUGGUAAUAGCAUAAUAAAGAAGAUCUUCAUCGCUUCAGUAUCUUCAAUACUCCCUCCCCUCAAUCUGGAUCCAGUGGAUUGGUGGAUCCAAGCUUGCUUAAUAACCGAUGAAAUUGAGUGAAAGGUAAGGCUUUGGUAAGCACAUCAGCUAGUUGAUCAUGAGAUCGUACAUACUGAGGAUGGAUAAGUUUAGCUUGAACUUGCUAAUGAAUAUAAUGAGAAUCUACUUCAAUAAUCUGUAUUUUUCUACUGUUUUUGAAAAACUUCGCAGCCAAUACUGUCUAGUUAUUGUCCUGAAACUUCUCUGUAGUGCUACAGCCAGAACACAAGAUAUAUUAUCUCUUCCCUUUCUAGUUAUUGUUGUCAACAAUACGAAGCUAUAACCCAAGCCUCAGGGGCUAGAAACUUUACAUUGCUGCCAUACCAUUCAUUUACUUGUACCACUGCCUCAGACAGAGAAUGCAGAAUGCAUGGGGUAUCGAGUUGUCUGUGUUAUAAGUACAUGGUUUUAUGACAAUCCGAAUAUAACUACGAUAUGGAUUUACAUGUUUCUGUGAUAAGUAUAUCCAAUUCCUCUAGUUUAUCCCUUUUUCUUUUUCCUGUCUAUUUCUGCGGGCUUUCCGUCUUAUGGUAGCUUCUUUUGUAUCGGAAUCUGCUCUGACCGAUGUCUUCAUCCCUAACAGCCAAAAGAUGCCAAAUCCGACCAUUGCCGAUGAUCCAGAUGAGCAUUUUUUAAGGCAAUGCAGUGUUAAAUUUAUCCUUUGUAGUUUGGUCUUGAACCACAAUUUUGCUUGUGAGGAUGUUCGCAAAAGUAGUCUACUGCAAGAGGUUAAUAUAAUAUGGACUCAAUCUAGAUGUUCCAAGCCUCUAACAAUAUUAACAUAUUGAUUUCUUAACAGCUUUUGGAACUGCCUUGAGCUUUCAUGGCAGACAAUUAAGUUGAUUCCUUGUUUUUUCAACUGUAAUUUGGUAUUCCAGCGUAAGUUUUUGUACGACAAGGGUGAGUUCACAGGUCUCUUCUCGAUGAUUCUCAUGAUGAAUUAUCGAAUCGCGGGAAAGAUAGAGCCUAAACAUAGCAAUAAUUUAACUUCAGAUCUUAAAAAUCAGUUCAAAAGCAGCAGGAAACAAUAGACAGACAGGUAUCUAUCGUGCAUUUGAGCUAGGAACAAAAUGGCCUGUCUGCACAAAAAGAAAAAGGCCUGCCUGUCAGGGCAACAUUGCCGUGCCCAAGUUACCAUGGUGGGAUGCUGCAUUCUCUGUCAGAACCAAAUUACUUAAAUUUGAUAUUUUUGUCAGGUUAGUUCCUGGAAUGUGGCUUUGCUAGGCCUACGUGUGACCUUAUUGCCAUUUUUUUAAAAAUACUAAUAAUGUUUUUUUAAAACUUUAUUAAUAAUUAUACAAAUAAUACUAAUAAUAAUAAUAAUAAUAAUAUUUUAAUUUUCAAAUCAAAUUUUGGUUAUUUUUCAACAAUCAUAAUAUUUUUUUUAAUUUAAUAAUAAUUAUAAUAAUAAUAAUAAUAAUAAUAAUAUUUACAAUAUUAAUAAUAAUAUUAAACUUGUCUAACCCAAGUUCUUAUAGUUUUUAAUCUCUUCAAAUUGAAUUUAUGGUUUUUUUAUAGUAAUAAUAUUUUUUUUCAAAUUUAAUAAUAAUAAUAUUUUUAAUUUUACCCUUCAAAUCAAAUCUAUGUUUUUUUUAAUAGUAAUAAUAUUUUUUUAAAAAAAUAUUAAUAAUUAUAUUAAUAAUAAUGAAAAUAAUAAUAUAAAUAAUAAUAUUAAACAUAUCUAGCUCAAGUUCUUAAUUUUUUUAAUUUUACCAUUCAAAUUAAAUCUAUGGUUUUCUUCAAUAGUAAUAAUAUAUUUUUAAAAAAAUUUAAUAACAAUAAUAAUAAGAUUCAUAUUCAUUUAGUAUGACAUCCCCUACCAGACUCGAGUAGCUUGAGUUUAAUGCCUCUGCCAGAUCCAAGUUAUUUGGGUCUGUUGGUACUAUAUCCAAAUUCUUUAGUUAUGGCAUCCUCUGUCAGACCCAUGACGUCUAGAUCUAACAACCUUUCCAAAUCCAAGACAGUGUGGUCUCACAGUCAUGUCUAACCUGAGUGUCUAGAGUAUAGUUGCGUUGCCAGACUCGAGUGUCUGAGGUCUGGCAGACAUAUUUGACCCCAGUGCUAAGUAUUUGACAGCCGUAUCAUUCCCUAGCGCUUUAGAAAAACCCAAAAAAAAACCAUUUUGUCCCUAAUUAUUCUCUUAAUACCAAAUAUAUCUCAUAAAAAAGAGAAUCUCAUCCUCAACUACAUGCUUAUCAAGUUUCUUUGGUAAUAAUAAUUACAUCAUUAAACCAAUUCAAUUCAUAGUGAUCUGUCUUGAUGAAUAGUUAAACACUAAUUUCUUUUAAUAUAUUAUAUAAUAUUUACAAUAUAAAAAAGAACUAAAUACAAGGGGAAUAGUAAAAUACGAGAAAUAAUUAAAAAAACAUGAAAGUAUUUUUGUCAUUAUUUCGCGGAUCCUAGUGUUAUACUCUCUCUUUUCACUACUUCUAUCUCUUUUGUAGUUAUUACAGUUAUAAAUUUUUCCAUGUUUCCAUGGCCUGACGACGUUUACUACGAGGUGAAAAUAGCGAGGCUGAAACUUCAUGGGAGCAGGUGUUAAGUGGUAUGCUUUAAAGGUUGAAAAUUAUUUACAACUGUAAUCUCGCAAAUCAUGUUUGGCUGCAUUUAUGCACAAAAGAGCAAAAACACGAAAAUACUUGAAUUUAUCAAUCAUUAUUAAUAGAAAUUAAGCCUUUUGUUAUUUUCACUAUAGCUGAAAUUAUUGUUUAUUCUCUUAUAAAUAAUUGUAGAUUGAAAUUCUAAUUUUUUAAAAAUUUUCAAUUUGAUUCUCGAACAUUUUCUUUACACAAUUGAGCUCUUUUGAACUUGAAUUAGCAUCCAAUUACAUGUUUUUUUUAAUAGGAUACUAGAUUGAAAGAUAAAGGACCAAAAUAAAAAGGACACGAAAAAUAGAUAGCGACUUUGAAUUUGAUACAAAAAAAUUUAUUUUGGUCCCUUAUAUUUUUCAUUUUACAAGUGGUAGAUCCCUUUAGUUUUUAGGAAUUUAAUUUUGAUACCAAAAUUAAUUUCUCUAAUUUUUUUGUUCUUUUUUACAAGAGGAGAAAGAGAUCGCCACUUGAUUCCUACAAAGAGAGAAAAAGUGAUUGUUGACAACAAUAUAACCACCAAAAUGAUUGAAAUUGGUGCUACUGAGUUCCAUUUUCAUUUCAUUUGAGAAUUUUUAUUCAAAUAUUUUUUUUUCUUCUCCUUACUUGAUGAGAUAGAUCUGAUCGUGAGAAUGUUUUUGGAUUCAGGUUGAUUUUGGUUAUUUGAGUUGUUUUUUGGGUUUUAAAAGGAUAUGGAUAGGAUUAUCAAGGUGUUUAUUAUGUUUUUUUUUUAUCAAAAAUAUGUUGAAAAUGAGUUUUCAAAUAAAAAAAACCAACACUCGGUUUUUUCAGCCUUUUCUGGUUUCCAGAUUCUGCACAAAUCAGACGACAAUCUUAUUUAAAAAAAAAAAAAAAACAAAGCUAGGUCCAAGAGCCCGAGUUAGAAGGCUCAUAUGCUUGGGCUAAUGUUUUUUUACCAAUGUGUCGUGGCUUCCUUUUUUUAAAAAAAUAUUGUUAUUUUCUAUCUGAUUUAAAAAAUAAUAAUACAAGAAAUUAUUGAACUUAAUUGAGAUCAUGAACUGGGUUGUAGGUUACAUGGUUCAUCUACAACAUUCUAUCUUCUUUUUUGUACCAUAAUUUAAAAAAAAAAAUCCACCCUUUAUUAUUGAUGAUCCAUUUUUUUAUUUAGCUAAAAACUAAAAAAAUAUAAUUUCAUUAUUUAUUAUCAAUGAUCUACUCUUUUUUUUUUAUGACCCUGGGUGUCCGGGCCAGCUUACGCGCACUACAACUAAUCCCAGGGCCUACUGAACAUCCUGCAAGCCUAGUAGGCAGGUAAGGCACCGCGGGGGUGACAGGCUGGUACUCUUGAGGAUCGAACCCAGAACAUUCACAAAGACAAGCCUUGCAGUUGACCAAUGAACUAGACUCUCAAGUGUAUCAAUGAUCUACUUUUGCUAUAUCAGCAACAUGCGUCUAGCAUGAUUCUUUUCCUAUUAAAAAAAUAUUUUAUAUGAAAAAAUUCUCAUGCGCUUUAUUAUCGUACAAUUAAAUAAAAAUAAUAUUUGGUGUAAAAAAUUUAUUGAAUCUAAUGACAUACAUGACUUGCAUCACGAAUUUAAUUGAUUGACUGGAGUUUACUUGGUAUUUUUUUAAUUAAGUGAUAUUUUUUACCAUUUUCAUCUUUCAACAUUAAGUUAAUUAGAGGUUGAGCUUUUUAUUUUGGUUUUUUCAAGAUUAUUCAUGCAACUCUUGUAUGUCAAUUGAUGUUAAUGCAAUGCAUUUUUAUUUUAAUAUUAAAUAAAAAUAUAGUUCAAUAUAUGAUUAUAAUCUAUUUCUUUACAAAAUACAUUACCAAUAUCCUUCUACAAAAACUUUAGCUUGCAGCUUCUUUUCUUAUCUCAUUCGUUUAUUUUUAUGAGAAAGACUUGUAGAAAAUGAAAUUUGGAAAUUAGUGGAAGUUUAUCAGUACUAUCAAAUGAGAUUAAAACAUGCCACAUGUGGAGAAGAUGAAGCGAUAAUUAAUUAAUUACCCAAGAACUAUACAAGUUUGAUUGUCCAGUACAUUUCAAGAAACAUGAAAACAACCGUGUGCUGAGAGUUCCAUUGGUCAUCACCAUGGCUAGAUAACUGAGCAAAAGGGAAGGGGACGAAUAGCUAACAGGGAGAGAAUGGGCUUUGGUCUCUAACUCUCUACAAAGUCACAAGAUUCGACUCAUCGUGUUACUGAUUAUCAAAUUAAAAAAUAAAACAAAAUCAUUCGCAACACAACAUUCUUAAUCCACACCACGACAAUGAAUCAUAAGGAACUCUCGCUCUGCACUGCAUCACAAUAGCCCUUUUAAACUGCAAAAUGAAAUCCUGAAGUGUCUAUUAGCAUUUUAGAGACAAGUAAUGCCCCACCUCCACUAUAUGCUUAGUGGAAUACCUAAUCUCCACUAACCACAAAGUGGAGGCAACGAUGGGUAUAAAUCAUGACAUGAUUUAUGCCCUUCACUCUUUUUUGUAUGUUAAUAUAUAUGCUCAGUAAAGAACUGGCGUGUGUGUGUUAAUACUGAGAGAAAAAACACAGAGAACAGAGAAGAGAAAGAGAGCUUGAGUGAUUAGAGUUAAGUUGAGAAGAGUUUCUCCUCCUCCUUAGUUUGUAUUGUGUAUUUGAGUGAUUAAUACAAACCAGUAGCUCCGUGGAGUAGGCAAAUUGCCGAACCACGUAAACUUGUGUGUGUUUGAUCACUAGAAUCGCCCAACAACUGGUAUCAAAGCUUGUUCUUGAAAAAGAGGGUGUUUGAUCCAAACUCAAAAAUCAAAGUUCUCCAAACGUGUUUUUGACAAUACCAUCGUGUAGAGGAAGACCAGACGAAUCCACUGGUGAAAACCCGGCAAAGAACAGACGUCCUGCAUGCCUGCACGCGCCAACACACACCGACGUAAGGACUGCCUAUGCGCACCCACGCUCCUUCUUCGCCCGACUGCUUGUAAUCGGGUCGAGUUGACCCGCCUCGUCAUCCGUCCAGUCAGCAAGUUAGCGUAGUCAACAUCCAUCCAGUCAGCAAACUGGGUCAGCACAUGCCACGUCAUCAAUAAAAAUCGGUAUUCUUCUGCCUUGUCAGCAAAAGAUGGGCCUAGCUUGCGUGUCUGACACGUCAUCAGUUCUGGGUUUUGAUCCAGUGCGAUGCAGGCACUACUCCAGCUGACACGCGGCUUCAUCUGCACCGUCCUUUGAUCUAAAACUUUAAUUGCUAAAAUCUAAGCCAUUUGAAGUUCGAUUUGGGUGAUCUCAGUGUCAUUUCCAACAUUUUUGGUCGAAUUUGGCAAAUUGAAAUUGGAAAAGUAUUAAAAAUGGUAGAUGAAAUAAAGGCUGUUGGAAUUGAAAACUUUGACGGAACAAAUUUUGGAUACUGGAAAAUGCAAAUCGAUGAUUAUUUAUAUGGGAAGAAACUUCAUCUUUCCUUGUUAGGGAGCAAACCAGAAAAUAUACAAGAAGAAAAUUGGUUACUUCUUGAUAGAGAAGUUCUAGACAUUAUCCAGUUAUCCUUAUUAAGAAGAGUUGCUCACAAUGUUACAAAAGAAAGAUCCACUGCAAGAUUAAUGGAAGCCUUGUCCGGGAUGUAUGAGAACCAUCGACAAAUAAUAAAGUGCACCUGAUGAAAAAGUUGUUCAACCUGAAGAUGAUCGAAAACACAUCUGUUACAUAACACCUCAUCAACUUUAAUACCAUCACAAAUCAAUUAUCAUCUGUUGAGAUUGAGUUUGAUGAUGACAUUCGUGCACUCAUCUUGCUAGCUUCACUUCCAAGCAGUUGGGAAGGCAUGAGGACAGCCGUGAGCAAUUCAGCUGGAAAAUCCAAACUGAAAUAUGAUGACAUUCGAGACUUGAUUUUGGCUGAAGAAGUGCGAAGGAAUCGGGUGAAAGUUCAAGCUCAGGAUCAGCUCUCAACAUCAACACUCGAGGGAGGAGACAAGAUAGAGGCUCAUCCAGAGGCAGAUCAAAAUCAAGAUACAGAAGUAAAAGCAAGUUUGGAUCCAGAAAGCAGGUUGAAUGUUGGAAUUGUGGCAAACCUGGUCAUUUCAGUAGGAAUUGCACAAAACCGAAGAAACCUGAAGCUGACUCUGCAAACGCUACCACAGAUGAGGUACAAGAUGCUUUAAUUCUUGCUGUAAAGUCAAAUUGAUGAGUGGAUUCUUGAUUCUGGUGCUUCAUUCCACUGUACGCCACACAAUGAAAUGCUGCAAAAUUAUGUUGGAGGAGAUCAUGGUGUAGUCUAUCUGGCCGAUGGAACACCACUGAAUAUUGUGGGUAUAGGAGAUGUGCAAAUCAAGACAAUGAAUGGAUCUAUAUGGACCUUGCAGAAUGUAAGGCAUGUUCCUGAAUUAAAGAAGAAGUUGAUCUCUGUCGGACAACUUGAUGAUAGUGGUCAUUCAAUACUUUUUGCUGGAGGAAUGUGGAAAGUAUCAAAGGGAGCAAUGGUUUUAGCUCGUGGAAAGAAAACCGGCACCCUGUAUAUGACCACAAGAUUUGCAGACAUCAUUGCCUCAACUGAAGCAGAAAAUCAAGCACAGCUAUGGCAUUGUAGACUUGGCCAUAUGAGUCAAAAGGGGAUGAAGAUACUUCAGUCGAAGGGAAAGCUGCCAGAGUUAAAAAAUGUCGAUCUAGACAUUUGUGAAAGCUGUGUUCUUGGAAAACAGAAGAAGGUCAGUUUCUUGAAGGUUGGCAGGACCUUACGACCAAGAAAGCUAGAACUGGUACACACAGAUUUAUGGGGACCGUCUCCAGUAGCAUCUCUUGGAGGUUCUCGGUAUUAUGUGACUUUCAUUGAUGACUUCAGCAGGAAGGUAUGGGUUACUUUCUGAAAAAUAAAUCUGAUGUGUUUGAAACAUUCAAGAAAUGGAAGGCUAUGGUUGAGACUGAAUCAGGUCUAAAGUUGAAAUGCUUGAGAUCUGAUAAUGGAGGAGAAUACAUUGAUGGAGGUUUCAAGGAGUAUUGUGCUGUCAAUGGUAUCAGAAUGGAAAAGACCGUUCCAGGCACACCGCAACAGAAUGGCGUUGCUGAACGGAUGAACAGGACCAUCAAUGAACGAGCUAGAAGCAUGAGGUUGCAUUCAGGGUUACCUCAAACAUUCUGGGCUGACGCAGUUCAUACCGCAGUUUACUUGAUCAACCGUGGACCAUCAGUUCCUUUGGAAUUCAGACUGCCCGAGGAAGUAUGGAGAGGAAAAGAGGUACAACUCUCUCAUUUGAAGGUCUUUGGGUGUGUUUCCUAUGUUCACAUAGAUUCUGAUGCUCGCAACAAGUUAGAUGCCAAAUCCAAGAAAUGUUUCUUCAUUGGCUAUGGAGAUGAAGAAUUUGGAUUUCGGUUCUGGGAUGAUCAGAAUAGAAAGAUUAUCAGAAGCAGGAACGUGAUCUUCAAUGAGAAAGUUAUGUACAAAGACAGAUCAAGUGAGAAACAGAGAUGGCUGAUUCAGAUACAAGUCCACAAAGAUCUGAAUUCAUAAGAUUAGAAGGGCUUCCCGAUGUUACUAAGCAGAACAACAAUCAAGAGUCUUUACAAGAAGAUUCAAGCACAUCUGUGCCCACUACACACAAGAAGAUGCGGAGCAAUUGAACCAGCUGUUCGCAGGUCUUCGAGGACGAUAAAGCCCCCGCAACGGUUCACACUUUUACUGAAUUAUAUUUUGCUGACAGAUGGUGGUGAACCGCUACUUAUGAAGAAUCCUUACAAGAUGGAAACUCAAGCAAGUGGGAGUUAGCCAUGAAGGAUGAGAUGAGUUCGUUGCUGAAGAACAAGACUUGGGAGCUAACACAUUACCUGAAGGAAAGAAGGCCUUGCAAAAUAAGUGGGUUUACAGAGUGAAGACUGAGCAUGACGGAAGCAAACGGUUCAAGGCAAGACUUGUUGUCAAAGGGUUUCAAAAAAGAAAGGCAUUGACUACUCUGAGAUUUUUUCUCCAGUUGUGAAGCUCACAACAAUCAGAGUUGUUCUGGGGAUAGUAGCUGCAGAAAAUUUACAUCUUGAACAGUUAGAUGUAAAAACAGCAUUCCUUCAUGGUGACUUGGAGGAAGAUAUUUACAUGCAACAGCCAGAGGGGUUUGCAAUGCAAGGAAAGGAGAAUCAAGUCUGCAAGCUACAGAAAAGCCUAUACGGUUUGAAGCAAGCUCCAAGACAGUGGUACAAGAAGUUUGACAACUUCAUGUGCAGUUCCGGGUAUACAAGAUGCCAAGCUGAUCAUUGUUGCUAUGUCAAACAUUUUGACAACUCCUACAUCAUUCUACUAUUAUAUGUAGAUGAUAUGUUGAUUGCAGGAUCCAGCAUUGAGGAGAUUGAUAAGCUGAAACAGCAGUUGUCGAAACAGUUUGAAAUGAAGGAUCUGGGAGCUGCUAAACAAAUACUUGGCAUGAGAAUCAUCAGAGAUAAAGACAAAGGCAUACUAAAGCUCUCACAAACAGAGUAUGUCAAGAAGGUUCUCAGCAGGUUUAGUAUGGAUAAUGCUAAACCAGUAAGUACACCACUGGGGAAUCAUUUCAAGCUCAGCAAAGAUCAGUCACCAAAAACUGAGCUAGAAAGUGGAUACAUGGAUAAGAUUCCAUACGCCUCAGCUAUCGGCUCUUUGAUGUAUGCUAUGGUCUGUACCAGACCAGACAUUGCCCAUGCAGUGGGAGUUGUAAGCCGAUAUAUGAGCAAUCCUGGAAAGCAGCAUUGGGAGGCGGUGAAAUGGAUCAUGAGGUACUUAAAAGGUUCAUCGGAAACUUGUCUUAGUUUCACAGCUGGUGGUUUGAAACUUAAAGGUUUUGUAGAUGUUAAUCUAGCAGGAGAUGUUGAUAGCAGAAAGAGUACUACAUGAUAUGUAUAUAUUCUAGGAGGUACUGCUGUUUCCUGGAGUUUUACCUUUCAAAAGAUCGUCGCUCUUUCAACAACAAAAGUUGAAUAUGUUGCAGUCUCAGAAUCUGCAAAAGAGAUCGUAUGGUUGCAGAGUUUCCUGAAAGAAUUGGGCAAGAUGAAUGGAAAAGGUAUUUUGUAUAGCGACAGUCAAAGUGCAAUCUUCCUUGCCAAGAAUCCAGCAUUUCACUCCAGGACUAAGCAUAUUCAAAUCAAAUAUCACUUUAUCCGACAACUGCUAGACGACGAGCAACUAAUGCUAGGAAAGGUCUGUGGAAGCAAGAAUCCAGCUGACAUGUUAACCAAAAGAGUUACACUUGAUAAAUUGAAGUUGUGUAAAACUUCAGUUGGUUUUCAAGGAUAAAAGAUAAUUUCAUUGUUUGUCUCCAAGUGGGAGAUUGUUAGCAUUUUGGAGACAAGUAAUGCCCCACCUCCACUAUAUGCUUAGUGGAAUACCUAAUCUCCACUAACCACAAAGUGGAGGCAACAGUGGGCAUAAAUCAUGGCAUGAUUUAUGCCCUUCACUCUUCUUUGUAUGUUAAUAUAUAUGCUCAAUAAAGAGUUGGCGUGCGUGUGUUAAUACUGAGAGAAAAAACACAGAGAAUAAAGAAGAGAAAGAGAGCUUGAGUGAUUAGAGUUGAGUUGAGAAGAGUUUCUCCUCCUCCAUUGUUUGUAUUGUGUAUUUGAGUGAUUAAUACAAACCAGUAGCUCCAUGGAGUAGGCAAGUUGGCGAACCACUUAAACUUGUAUGUGUUUGAUCACUGGAAUCGCCCAACAGUGUCUGGUUUGAAUCACCAGGAUGUCAAACCCAACUGUAAAUCUAAAAAGGGGUUUUAGCUUUCUAUCACUUGUUAAUAUCCAGUGGAUUUGUGUUUUUGUUGCAGGCUUCACGUCUCUAGGCAGCUUCUUUGAUUUCUGAAUCAGCUUUAACCGACACCGUCAUCCGUAAAGAGCCAAAAGAUACCUUCAUUUGCAAAGUUACAAACCAAGAAUACUGAGAACAUCUUCGUUUGCGUAAUUGAACAUAAAUGAUGGUCCGGUCAUCUUCAACGUCUUCCAAUCAAUGUGAUAAUCCACCUUUCAUAGCUUUGUAUUGACCCAUGACAUGCCUUGUAUAGGUGGUUCCGUUAGUCUUAUUGACUAUCUAGUACAAGACAUUUGUUCGAUUAGGAACUAUAAUCGUGCAUUGCUUCAGAAUUCCUGGAUGAAUGCAGUUGAAGAAUGGCUCGCUGUUGUUUUCUCUAUUCGACUCAUUCUGGCGCCAGACAGGAAAAUGCAACUAAAAAGGGUCUCCCAUUUCAAACUGGGUCUGAAAUAUACACCAAUACAUUUUUCAGGAAAUGAUAUUUUCCAUAAUCAAAGUUUGCACAGAGUAUGAACUAGGCAUCUUCAAGGCCCAAAUCAAGGUAUCUAUUCUGAAUCUCAAGCCAAAACAAAAGAAUAUUUUGACUUCAUAUUGGAUGCUGGGGUGGGCGAACUCUCGUAGCUAUAAGUUAUACAAUCAAAUAGUUGCACACUUUGGAACACACAAGGACCAAACCAAUUUGAGAAAGGAUUGAAGCAGGUGCUAGAUUGAUACACAGUAGUAGUGUGUCAGCUUCUGGAAUUUGUCUAUUUUUGUACUUCUUGUAAUGAAAUUGAACUGCACGGUGAAAUGGUUUCUCUGCAGCACCACCUGUAAUCAUCAGGUUUAUCUGUAAUCAGCCAUGCCAAUCAAGCAACUACAGGGUGCAAAAUGGUCGCUCCACCUUUUGAUGUCCUGUAUAUUAAUUUCUUACGUUGCAGGCUUCCUAUCUCUGAAUUGGCAGUGAAUCACUAAGCAAUGCUUCACUCGUACAAACCUGAAACAAGAACUUUAGAUCUUAUAAGUUUAACUUCUUCUUUUUAACUAGAGUUUUUUUAUGUUUUUUUUUUAAUGAUUUAACUUUGGUUUUUUUUUCAGGUUUUUUUUAAAAAAAUAUUUUGCUAAUUCAAGCUUGUGUAUUUGAUUUUUUUAUUAUUUUUGAAGUUAGCAAGGUUGUCUUUCAAUUUAUUUUUUACAAACAUGUUGUCUAAAAGGUUAUAUUUGGUUAUGCAAGGUGAUUUAAAAAAACAUGGUUAAACUUUUUUUUUAAAAAAAAAAGCAUAAAAAAAUAAUUGAAAAAAUCAAACUGUGAAAAAAAAAAUCGAUUAUAAUUUUAAAAAAAUAGACCGGUUCGAUUCAGAUUCAAUUUUAUAAGCUUAAAAUAAAAAAAUAAAAAAACCGAACCGAACCCAAACCAAAAAUAACAAGAACAAAACAGAAAAAACCAAGUCAAAACAGUUUGAACCGUUUUUUGUUCUAAAAACCAUAACCGAAACCAAUUUUAAUUUAAAAAAAAAUAGUUUGGUUAUUUUUUUUAUAAAAACAAAACUGAACCGAAAAUACUUACCCCUAAAAGCUUGCUCGAAACACAUGAAUGAUCCCAGUAAGAACACUGUCCACCUAAUAAUUGGUUAAUAUCAUCUUAUUAUUGUAAGCAGCAACAUUGGCAAUCAUUUUCUAAAGCUAGCUUCCAGGAUUCAACUUCCUUGUGAAGUUUGGGGUAAUGAUCAAUAGCAUUAUCAACCGUAACUUUUUAUCCACCAAGUUUUGUCGUCCAUGAAUGUUUGUCUCCUUGCUUUCGGGAAAGAGAAGCUUUGUGUCACUUUUACUGUUCUGUUAUUUGAAAACAUUUGAAAAAAGAAAGAGGUUUGGAUUGUGUGAAUCCACAAACGCAAAUGUAUCUGAACGAACGAACAGUGACCUCAGCAAAUCUUUUAGUGUAUUGUUAGUUAAUAUAUAGCUAAUAUGAGACAGUAAUAAUUUCUCCUCUGUUCUUUUUUUAAUUAAAGCUUAAUUUCAAUGAAUCAAGACAAAACUCUAUCUGCAGAAAUCCUCAACGUUGACGCUUUCAGUAUUUUAGUUUAAGCAACUAAGCAAAAUCCAAUGAGUGGUAUAUUAAACAGAGUUCUCCAGAUUUCAUGAUCGGCCGAGUCUCUACCUCACUUUGACCCUUGCUCAGAGUUCCAAUUAAAUUAUUUUAGGAAACUAUGGUGAUUUGAUGAUGCUUACAUGCAGCUGAUAAAAUUGUUGAUGUAAAUUAUGAAAGCCAGAGUUGAUUCCAAAUGAACAAUAUCGAUCCCCUAAAUAUUAAAUUAAACUACAGCAGUUUCCAAUUCACUGCAAUAUCUACUCUGAGGCAAUCCAAUAGCCAAGAACUUACAAUAGUCGCGUAACCGGUUAGUUAAUUGCUUCGUUCUUGAAAGAAUCUUCCAUUAACUUUGAUUGUCUUUCCAUCUUCUCUUAGCUAGAUUGAAUUUCAUGGCCUUUGAUUCCUGUAUAAACUUGGCAAUCUGUUCCACGCCAGCCAUUGCAGGUGUGUUGAUAAGAUCUUUUGACCUUCGUUUUGCAGUACAAAAGACCGAAUUUUCUUGCUAACAGCUAUAGGGUGUCACUGUUGAAGAUCAAUCAAGAAUUUUCUAGAAUUCCUUAGCUGUUAAGGAAACAUUUGCUGGUGUGAACAAGCCACGAGUCAGUGCCGAUGUGGAAACAAAAGCAUGUCAAAAGUCAUUUAUCUGCAAUUUCAUGUAGAACGAAUAAUCUAUUUGUUUGUGAGUUUUUGCAACAUUGCUAAACAUUGCAGAACCCAAACAUUUUAGGAGUUUUUGCAUAGGUUGUUGAUUAUUGAAUAAUCUAUUUGUUUAUGAGUUUUUGCACCAAACAUCAUCGUCGGCUAAUUCAAUGGCUAGGGUUUUAUGGAUGGCAGUGGCUUGGGCUGGUGUGUUUGUGAUGGAAAAGGGUUUUCUGCCAUUUUUUUUUGUUUUUAAUUGCAUUACAAUUAAUUUUCAAGUUUAUUGAAUAUUUUAUAAGUCCAAUAAAUAUAUAAGAUAUCAUAGGAUCGUAUAUAAGUAAGAUUUAAAUCUUGAUGUGGAAGAAAGAAACAAGUUUCUUUAAUCACUGGCCAAUCUGAUGCGUGCCUUGUUUUUUUUUUCUGGAGUAGAAGAGGAGUGAGCUGUAACAGUUAUAGGGUGUACUGUUGAAGAUCAAUCAAGAAUUUUCUAGAAUUCCUUAGCUGUUAAGGAAUUAUUUGCUGGUGUGACCAAGUUACAAGUCAGUGCCAAUGUGGAAAGAACAGCAUGUCAAAAGUCAUUUAUCUUGAAUUUCGUGCUUGUUUCAGAUUUUUAUUUUUUAAAUUGUAUUUGUUUUAAAAAUAUAUUAAAUAUAUUUUUUAAUAUUUUAAAUAAUUCUCGUACGCUAGUAUAAAAAAUUUAAAAAUUAUUUUAAUAUAUUUUUAAAAAAACACUUUCGUAUAAAAAACAAAAUGUAUCAAAACACUCGUCACAAAAAGUAAAAAGAUUGUAUCUAGUUGUAAUUAUUAAAGCAAGAUACAUUAUUUAAUAACAAAGAACAUAAUUUAUAUUUUUAUUUCUAAAAAAUUUAUUUAUUUUUAUUUUAAAUUUAUUUUUUAAUAUUUUUAAAUAUACUUUUAAACCGACCACGCAACAUCUCUUUCUCUUGUGUAAUUUAUUGGGUGCUGUGUGUGGGUGAGAAAAAGAAAGAUAUCCAUGUUCAAACGAAUUGAACUAAGAACGAUUUUUUAUUACAAAAAAAAAAAAAACAAAACUGUAAGUAAAAAGAUUUUUUUUUUUACCCCACUACAUCUUGAAUAUCUCAUAUAUAAACUAUAUUAUAUAUAAAUAUAAUAAAUAAUAAUAUGAUAUUAAAGAGUAUCAUAUUAAUUUAUGAUUAGGUAUGAGUGGUGUGAGAAAUAAUACUAAAAUAAGAGUGUUUAUUGUGUGAGUGUGACAUACCAUUAACUAUGGUGUGAUUUUCAUGUUUCACCACUAAAUAAAAGACUACUGUGUUUUAUUUACUCACCAUUGUAUCCCAGAAUCCAUACCCAACAAUUGGUACCAGAGAUGUUGCCCAAAAUUUGUACCAACAGUCACCACCUCCUGACUCCAGAUUGAUGUUGCCCAAAAUUUGUACCAACAGUCACCACCUCCUGACUCCAGAUUGACGUGUCUGGUUGGCUUGCUUGAACACCAUUUCAUCUCGAUCGAUCCAUGGCAACCAUUAGCUUCAACACCAUUUCAUCUCAAUCCAUGGCAACCAUUAGCUUGAAGGCAUCUGUGGACAAGAAGAGCAACAGAGUUGUAUUUGUUGAAUCUGACGAGUUCUUUGUUGACAUCCUUUUCAGCUUUUUGACAAUGCCCAUGGGAACAAUCAUCCAUCUCAUCAGUAAUCUUUCACCGACAAAUAGGAUUGGUUGCAUGAAGAACUUAUAUAAAAGUGUUGAAAAUAUAGAUGUUAGGUAUUUCCGGACUGAAGCAUGCAAGGACAUGUUGCUGCAUCCUCAUAAUGCCGCUGCAGCUUAUUGUAAGAGCCUAAAACUGAAAAUUGAUAUCAUUGAUGCUUUAAGUUUCUUUUGUUGCGAGAGUUCCGAUUGUACUCGUACUGGCUACAAGUUGUGGAGUCAUUACAAAAAUGUUUAUUGUGGUUGUGGACGUCCCAUGAGCCGUAAUUUGAAUCUACCAUGCCCGGCUCCAUCAAAUAGUGGAUCUGACGAAAGAAAUCAAGGAGUGUUUGUCCAAGAACUGGCCCGAUUUGUUGUAAGUGACUAUUUUCAAGCGAUGCCAGCAUCAACUUCAGCAAGCAUUUCUCUUCUUACAAAGCUUGGAGUCAUGGAUACAAGUAACAUCGAGGAGAGGAUUUUUGACAUUGGAGUAACACAGGUAUGAUCUAAUAUAUGAGCUGUUGCAGUAUUGUCUAGCCUUGUGCUACGUACAGGUACCCAUUUUAAUGUCUUUGUUUUAGGUCUUGGAGUUGCUGGAGUGCUCAUUGGUAUCAAGGACACCUCUGACCGAAGUUUUGCUUGCUCGUAAGGAAGUUCCCGAGUUAAGAAAUGAAGAUUCCCUUCAAAGAACCUCUCUUAUGCGUGAAAUACCAGAGCACCAAUCAGAAAUAAAUGGUGAGACGUCUGUUAGGCUUGUGGUUUGCAAAUCCAAGAAAGUGGUAUGUUACGCAGAAGCGUCUAAAGAUUUUGUUGAUUUACUUUUUAGUUUUCUCACCAUUCCACUUGGGUAUUUGAUGAAUGAAAUGCAUGGUGGACAAUCAAAAGGAAGCAUCCACCACCUAUAUGACAGUGUCAUUGAUCUCGAUGCUACGAAAUACCUGAAGUCAAAUGACAUUAAAGAGAUUCUUCUAAAUCCUAAGAUUGCACCUGGUUCUGGCUAUAAGAACCAGCCACUAGGUGUUAAGGAAGCUGUUGAUAACCAGCAGUACUACUAUGAUCGGGGUUCUAAUUCCACAUUUUC
This 43372-nucleotide long non-coding RNA is filed under the name Populus tremula. Its description in RNAcentral is "long non-coding RNA (PTRE_LNC000177)". The record is from RNAcentral. Lineage: Eukaryota; Viridiplantae; Streptophyta; Magnoliopsida; Malpighiales; Salicaceae.